UACGGGAGGAGCGAGCAUUAUUCGGAAUGAUUAGGCGUAAAGGGUGCGUAGGCGGGUCUUUAAGUCAGGGGUGAAAUCCUGGAGCUCAACUCCAGAACUGCCUUUGAUACUGAAGAUCUUGAGUUCGGGAGAGGUGAGUGGAACUGCGAGUGUAGAGGUGAAAUUCGUAGAUAUUCGCAAGAACACCAGUGGCGAAGGCGGCUCACUGGCCCGAUACUGACGCUGAGGCACGAAAGCGUGGGGAGCAAACAGG
This 253-nucleotide ribosomal RNA is filed under the name uncultured bacterium. RNAcentral's name for it is "partial 16S ribosomal RNA". It matches the Rfam family "Bacterial small subunit ribosomal RNA", at positions 524 to 776 of the family's 1533-position model. The record is from RNAcentral.